Molecule: unclassified non-coding RNA, 376 nt
Filed under: soil metagenome
Description: partial contains 5.8S ribosomal RNA, internal transcribed spacer 2, and large subunit ribosomal RNA
Rfam family: 5.8S ribosomal RNA (bases 1-120)
Source: RNAcentral
GAUGAAGAACGCAGCGAAAUGCGAUAAGUAAUGUGAAUUGCAGAAUUCAGUGAAUCAUCGAAUCUUUGAACGCAUCUUGCGCUCCUUGGUAUUCUGAGGAGCAUGCCUGUUUGAGUGUCAUUAAAUUCUCAACUACACUGACUUUGAAUUGGUGUGGCUUGGAUUUGGGGGGAAAAUUGUUGUGGGCUUUUUGUAUAGUCUGCUCCCCUGAAAUUGAUUAGCGGUACCUUUGUGGAACUGUCUACAGGUGUGAUAAUUAUCUACAUCUUAGACAUCUGCUGGAAUGCUGCUUUCUAAACCUUACUUGUAUUGACAAUCUUGACCUCAAAUCAGGUAGGACUACACGCUGAACUUAAGCAUAUCAAUAAGCGGAGGA